UAAUGACUUUGGAUUUUCUCG
Non-coding RNA from Caenorhabditis elegans, 21 nucleotides. Lineage: Eukaryota; Metazoa; Nematoda; Chromadorea; Rhabditida; Rhabditidae. The record is from Ensembl.